This 79-nucleotide transfer RNA is filed under the name Pollutimonas subterranea. Its description in RNAcentral is "Pusillimonas sp. JR1/69-3-13 tRNA-Met". It matches the Rfam family "tRNA". Rfam says of the family: Transfer RNA (tRNA) molecules are approximately 80 nucleotides in length. Their secondary structure includes four short double-helical elements and three loops (D, anti-codon, and T loops). Lineage: Bacteria; Pseudomonadati; Pseudomonadota; Betaproteobacteria; Burkholderiales; Alcaligenaceae. The record is from RNAcentral.
GCCCCUCUAGCUCAUGCUUGGUUAGAGCAGCGGACUCAUAAUCCGUUGGUGCGGUGUUCGACUCACCGGGGGGGCACCA